GAAACUUACGAGAUUGAAAGCAGUUCUGAAAUCCUGAUGUUACUUGACAAGUUUCAGCUUGCUAUCUCAGGCCUCCUUACUAUCUCAGGCCUCCUCCAUACUAUGCCAACAAAAUAAAUACACGGUGACACUGGUGAGUGGUCACUGUUAGGGAAAACAAAAGACCUAGCACACAAGAAUGCCCCUGAUUCUAGUAAAUGCUUCCUUCUCCCACUGACCAUUCGAACAGACAAGGCUCGGGCUCACAGAGAUCUCUGACUUGCAAGAACAAAACUGAAUCAGUAAUCCAGACUAUUGACAGCAUCUGUGCUGCUGUUAUCUUUGGGCACAAAAAUGUUUUUCAAUAUGAAUAGGUUCCCUGUAAUUUAAAUUCAGCUGCAUAUUAAGUGCAUAAGUGCGGACAGUUAUUAGUUGACAGUGGAGGCAAGAAAAGAAAUUACUUAAGUGCUCCAGGAAAUGAAAGCAUGCUUGUAUACUUAAGGCUAAGUGUUUGAUGAUAAGGAAGGGUUAGUUAGUCUUGGAGUCUCAGGGUCAGUAUUCAUUCAGCAAACAUUUACUGAAUACCUAAUCAUUGUUCUUUAUUACAUGAAUAUGUUUGGCCUAUCAGCAUGGACUUAAGGUAGCUGAAAUUUAUUAUAUUCCAAGUUGGUGCUAGGUAGUAGAAAGAAUAAGAUACAUUUCUUGCCUCCAUGAGUCACAUUUCUUGGGAAUGUAAAUUUCUAGGGACCUACUGAUGCUAAAGCUGAAACUCCAGUACUUUGGACACCUCAUGCAAGAGCUGACUCAUUGGAAAAGACCCUGAUGCUGGGAGGGAUUGGGGGCNNNNNNNNNNNNNNNNNNNNNNNNNNNNNNNNNNNNNNNNNNNNNNNNNNNNNNNAGUCUGAGUGAAAUCCAGGAGUUGGUGAUGGACAAGGAUGCCUGGCGUGCUGCAAUUCAUUGAGUCUCAAAGAGUCAGACGUGACUGAGCGACUGAACUGAACUCCAGUAUACUCUUGCCUGGAGAAUCCCAUGGACAGAGGAGUACGGAGGGCUACAGGCCAGGGGUCACAAAGAGUCAGACACGAAUGAGCGGCUAACACUUUGAAGCUCCUGCCUUCAUCUAUAAGAUCUGAAAAGAAAUUACUCUCAUUUCAAGUAAGAAAUAUUUUACAUUAAACAAUGUUCUCAGGAAUUCCCUGGCAGUCCAGUGGUUAUAACUCAGAGCCUUCAAUGUAGUGACCCAGGUUUCCCUUAGUCAGGGAAUUAAGAUUCUGCAAGCCAUGCAG
This 1265-nucleotide long non-coding RNA is filed under the name Capra hircus (goat). RNAcentral's name for it is "lncRNA (ENSCHIG00010004381.1)". The record is from RNAcentral. Lineage: Eukaryota; Metazoa; Chordata; Mammalia; Artiodactyla; Bovidae.